Small nucleolar RNA from Rhinichthys klamathensis goyatoka, 91 nucleotides. NCBI's taxonomy places the organism in Eukaryota, Metazoa, Chordata, Actinopteri, Cypriniformes, Leuciscidae. The record is from RefSeq and is a predicted model, not a curated record.
AGGCUUCUAUGAUGUUUUAGCACUGGGCUCUGAACUUAUGUGUAGACAAAAGUGCAGUUCUGCUCCUGACAUGGCAGAGGCUGAGAAGUGU